CCCUCCCCUCCCCUCCCUCCCUCACACGCCGCCGCCGCCGCGCUGGGGGACCCGGUGACGUCACGGGCGGCGCGCUCCCGGCGCUGGCUCGGCGCUCGCCGCCCCGUAACUUGUGCCGUGGGAAGCGGCGCCAGGAACAGCCCGGCCGGGCUGCGAGCUGCGAGCCCUGCCUCGCCUCCCUGCCCUCCUCUCCCCUCCUCUCCUCUCCUCUCCUUCCCGACCGCGGCCGCCGGCCUCCGCCUCGCCCCCGUCAGUGCCGCGGUGAUGCUGGUGCGUUCCCGGCGGAGGGGCAGCGAUGAGCUACCUUAAGAUAAAUACGCGAGACAGACGCCCCUUGGCCGCUGGAAUAUCUCUGCCUGGCCUUAUAUAAAGGAACGCCGCCGGCCGCCGAGCUCCGGGCAAACGGAGCGCCCGGCGGGAGCACCAGCACCGCCGCCAGCAGCAGCAGCGGCGGCAGCAGCGGCAGCAAGGGCACCGGGAGGGCUCCGCUCCCUCCUCCUCCGCCGCCGCUUCCCAGGUGGGACCCUCUCCUGAUAUGUGAUCUGCAGCAAGCAACCCUGAAUCAUACGAUGACAAUGUUAUCACUGCCACAUCUCUGGGAACCAGUUAUUCAUAAGUAUACGGAUUGUCUACUUAAGAAGCUGAGAGUGAGCUAG
RNAcentral lists this long non-coding RNA (656 nucleotides) under Anser cygnoides (Swan goose). Its description in RNAcentral is "lncRNA (ENSACDG00005018646.1)". Lineage: Eukaryota; Metazoa; Chordata; Aves; Anseriformes; Anatidae. The record is from RNAcentral.